RNAcentral lists this ribosomal RNA (446 nucleotides) under uncultured bacterium. RNAcentral describes it as "bacterial SSU rRNA". It matches the Rfam family "Bacterial small subunit ribosomal RNA", at positions 329 to 792 of the family's 1533-position model. The record is from RNAcentral.
UACCAGACUCCUACGGGAGGCAGCAGUGGGGAAUAUUGCACAAUGGGGGAAACCCUGAUGCAGCGACGCCGCGUGAGUGAAGAAGUAUUUCGGUAUGUAAAGCUCUAUCAGCAGGGAAGAAGUUGACGGUACCUGAGUAAGAAGCCCCGGCUAACUACGUGCCAGCAGCCGCGGUAAUACGUAGGGGGCAAGCGUUAUCCGGAUUUACUGGGUGUAAAGGGAGCGUAGACGGCAAUGCAAGUCCGAUGUGAAAACCCAGGGCUCAACCGUGGGAGCGCAUUGGAAACUGAAUGGCUGGAGUGCAGGAGAGGUAAGCGGAAUUCCUGGUGUAGCGGUGAAAUGCGUAGAUAUCAGGAGGAACACCAGUGGCGAAGGCGGCUUACUGGACUGUAACUGACGUUGAGGCUCGAAAGCGUGGGGAGCAAACAGGAUUAGAUACCCGAGUA